GACGAACGCUGGCGGCGUGCUUAACACAUGCAAGUCGAACGGAAAGGCCCUGCUUUUGUGGGGUGCUCGAGUGGCGAACGGGUGAGUAACACGUGAGUAACCUGCCCUUGACUUUGGGAUAACUUCAGGAAACUGGGGCUAAUACCGGAUAGGAGCUCCUGCUGCAUGGUGGGGGUUGGAAAGUUUCGGCGGUUGGGGAUGGACUCGCGGCUUAUCAGCUUGUUGGUGGGGUAGUGGCUUACCAAGGCUUUGACGGGUAGCCGGCCUGAGAGGGUGACCGGCCACAUUGGGACUGAGAUACGGCCCAGACUCCUACGGGAGGCAGCAGUGGGGAAUAUUGCACAAUGGGCGGAAGCCUGAUGCAGCAACGCCGCGUGCGGGAUGACGGCCUUCGGGUUGUAAACCGCUUUCGCCUGUGACGAAGCGUGAGUGACGGUAAUGGGUAAAGAAGCACCGGCUAACUACGUGCCAGCAGCCGCGGUGAUACGUAGGGUGCGAGCGUUGUCCGGAUUUAUUGGGCGUAAAGGGCUCGUAGGUGGUUGAUCGCGUCGGAAGUGUAAUCUUGGGGCUUAACCCUGAGCGUGCUUUCGAUACGGGUUGACUUGAGGAAGGUAGGGGAGAAUGGAAUUCCUGGUGGAGCGGUGGAAUGCGCAGAUAUCAGGAGGAACACCAGUGGCGAAGGCGGUUCUCUGGGCCUUUCCUGACGCUGAGGAGCGAAAGCGUGGGGAGCGAACAGGCUUAGAUACCCUGGUAGUCCACGCUGUAAACGGUGGGCACUAGGUGUGGGGUCCAUUCCACGGGUUCCGUGCCGUAGCUAACGCUUUAAGUACCCCGCCUGGGGAGUACGGCCGCAAGGCUAAAACUCAAAGGAAUUGACGGGGCCCCGCACAAGCGGCGGAGCAUGCGGAUUAAUUCGAUGCAACGCGUAGAACCUUACCUGGGUUUGACAUGGAUCGGGAGUGCUCAGAGAUGGGUGUGCCUCUUUUGGGGUCGGUUCACAGGUGGUGCAUGGCUGUCGUCAGCUCGUGUCGUGAGAAGUUGGGUUAAGUCCCGCAACGAGCGCAACCCUUGUUCACUGUUGCCAGCACGUUAUGGUGGGGACUCAGUGGAGACCGCCGGGGUCAACUCGGAGGAAGGUGGGGAUGACGUCAAGUCAUCAUGCCCCUUAUGUCCAGGGCUUCACGCAUGCUACAAUGGCUGGUACAGAGAGUGGCGAGCCUGUGAGGGUGAGCGAAUCCCGGAAAGCCGGUCUCAGUUCGGAUUGGGGUCUGCAACUCGACCUCAUGAAGUCGGAGUCGCUAGUAAUCGCAGAUCAGCAACGCUGCGGUGAAUACGUUCCCGGGGCU
RNAcentral lists this ribosomal RNA (1346 nucleotides) under uncultured bacterium. RNAcentral's name for it is "partial 16S ribosomal RNA". It matches the Rfam family "Bacterial small subunit ribosomal RNA", at positions 28 to 1381 of the family's 1533-position model. The record is from RNAcentral.